This 732-nucleotide ribosomal RNA is filed under the name uncultured bacterium. RNAcentral describes it as "bacterial SSU rRNA". It matches the Rfam family "Bacterial small subunit ribosomal RNA", at positions 771 to 1501 of the family's 1533-position model. The record is from RNAcentral.
AACAGGAUUAGAUACCCUGGUAGUCCACGCCGUAAACGAUGUCUACUAGCUGUUCGUGGUCUUGUACUGUGAGUAGCGCAGCUAACGCACUAAGUAGACCGCCUGGGGAGUACGGUCGCAAGAUUAAAACUCAAAUGAAUUGACGGGGGCCCGCACAAGCGGUGGAGCAUGUGGUUUAAUUCGACGCAACGCGAAGAACCUUACCUACUCUUGACAUCUAGCGAAGAUUGUAGAGAUACGAUUGUGCCUUCGGGAACGCUAAGACAGGUGCUGCAUGGCUGUCGUCAGCUCGUGUUGUGAAAUGUUGGGUUAAGUCCCGCAACGAGCGCAACCCUUAUCCUUAGUUGCCAGCACGUAAUGGUGGGAACUCUAGGGAGACUGCCGGUGAUAAACCGGAGGAAGGUGGGGACGACGUCAAGUCAUCAUGGCCCUUACGAGUAGGGCUACACACGUGCUACAAUGGUAUGUACAGAGGGAGGCAAGCUGGCGACAGUGAGCGGAUCUCUUAAAGCAUAUCGUAGUCCGGAUCGCAGUCUGCAACUCGACUGCGUGAAGUCGGAAUCGCUAGUAAUCGCAAAUCAGAAUGUUGCGGUGAAUACGUUCCCGGGCCUUGUACACACCGCCCGUCACACCAUGGGAGUGGGUUGCAAAAGAAGUAGGUAGCUUAACCUUCGGGAGGGCGCUUACCACUUUGUGAUUCAUGACUGGGGGUGAAGUCGUAACAAGGUAACC